UACGGGAGGCAGCAGUGGGGAAUAUUGCACAAUGGGCGCAAGCCUGAUGCAGCCAUGCCGCGUGUAUGAAGAAGGCCUUCGGGUUGUAAAGUACUUUCAGCGGGGAGGAAGGCGGUGAAGUUAAUAGCUUCACCGAUUGACGUUACCCGCAGAAGAAGCACCGGCUAACUCCGUGCCAGCAGCCGCGGUAAUACGGAGGGUGCAAGCGUUAAUCGGAAUUACUGGGCGUAAAGCGCACGCAGGCGGUCUGUCAAGUCGGAUGUGAAAUCCCCGGGCUUAACCUGGGAACUGCAUUCGAAACUGGCAGGCUAGAGUCUUGUAGAGGGGGUAGAAUUCCAGGUGUAGCGGUGAAAUGCGUAGAGAUCUGGAGGAAUACCGGUGGCGAAGGCGGCCCCCUGGGACAAAGACUGACGCUCAGGGUGCGAAAGCGUGGGGAGCAAACAGGAUUAGAUACC
This 455-nucleotide ribosomal RNA is filed under the name uncultured bacterium. RNAcentral's name for it is "bacterial SSU rRNA". It matches the Rfam family "Bacterial small subunit ribosomal RNA", at positions 340 to 786 of the family's 1533-position model. The record is from RNAcentral.